GACGGGGGGUCCUAGCGUUGUUCGGAAUCAUUGGGCGUAAAGCGUGUGCAGGUGGUUUGGAAAGUUAGAUGUGAAAUCCUUGGGCUUAACCCAAGAAGUGCAUUUAAAACUCCCAAACUUGAGUAAGGAAGAGGGUCGUGGAAUUCCAGGUGUAGUGGUGAAAUACGUAGAUAUCUGGAGGAACACCGGCGGCGAAGGCGGCGACCUGGUCCUAUACUGACACUCAUACACGAAAGCGUGGGGAUCAAACAGG
This 253-nucleotide ribosomal RNA is filed under the name uncultured bacterium. RNAcentral describes it as "partial 16S ribosomal RNA". It matches the Rfam family "Bacterial small subunit ribosomal RNA", at positions 524 to 776 of the family's 1533-position model. The record is from RNAcentral.